CUACGGGCUGCUCCAGUCGAGAAUCUUCCGCAAUGCGCGAAAGCGUGACGGAGCAAUGCCGCGUGGUGGGUGAAGGCCUUCGGGUUGUAAACACCUGUCACAUGGGACGAACUUUGACGGUACCAUGAGAGGAAGCCACGGCUAACUACGUGCCAGCAGCCGCGGUAAUACGUAGGUGGCGAGCGUUGUUCGGAUUUAUUGGGCGUAAAGGGUCCGCAGGGGGUUUGUUAAGUCUGAUGUGAAAUCCCGGGGCUCAACCCCGGAACUGCAUUGGAGACUGAUGAACUAGAGUAUCGGAGAGGUAAAUGGAAUUCCUGGUGUAGCGGUGGAAUGCGUAGAUAUCAGGAAGAACACCGAGAGCGAAGGCAAUUUACUGGACGAUUACUGACCCUCAGGGACGAAAGCGUGGGUAGCGAACAGGAUUAGAUACCCUUGUAGUC
This 440-nucleotide ribosomal RNA is filed under the name uncultured bacterium. Its description in RNAcentral is "partial 16S ribosomal RNA". It matches the Rfam family "Bacterial small subunit ribosomal RNA", at positions 339 to 795 of the family's 1533-position model. The record is from RNAcentral.